UGGACAGAUUAUUGUAUUCGACUGUAUUCAUGGCGUGAAAUAGGGGAUUACACUAUUUUUAAAACGGAACCCGGAAUCAAUUAACAUAAUAAACUCCU
This 98-nucleotide microRNA precursor is filed under the name Nicotiana sylvestris (wood tobacco). Its description in RNAcentral is "MIR6152 microRNA precursor family". It matches the Rfam family "MIR6152 microRNA precursor family". The record is from Rfam by way of RNAcentral. Lineage: Eukaryota; Viridiplantae; Streptophyta; Magnoliopsida; Solanales; Solanaceae.